AGUGGGGAAUAUUGCACAAUGGGCGCAAGCCUGAUGCAGCCAUGCCGCGUGUGUGAAGAAGGCCUUCGGGUUGUAAAGCACUUUCAGUCGUGAGGAAGGUGGUAGUGUUAAUAGCACUAUCAUUUGACGUUAGCGACAGAAGAAGCACCGGCUAACUCCGUGCCAGCAGCCGCGGUAAUACGGAGGGUGCGAGCGUUAAUCGGAAUUACUGGGCGUAAAGCGCAUGCAGGUGGUUUGUUAAGUCAGAUGUGAAAGCCCGGGGCUCAACCUCGGAAUAGCAUUUGAAACUGGCAAGCUAGAGUACUGUAGAGGGGGGUAGAAUUUCAGGUGUAGCGGUGAAAUGCGUAGAGAUCUGAAGGAAUACCGGUGGCGAAGGCGGCCCCCUGGACAGAUACUGACACUCAGAUGCGAAAGCGUGGGGAGCAAACAGGAUUAGAUACCCUGGUAGUCCACGCCGUAAACGAUGUCUACUUGGAGGUUGUGGCCUUGAGCCGUGGCUUUCGGAGCUAACGCGUUAAGUAGACCGCCUGGGGAGUACGGUCGCAAGAUUA
RNAcentral lists this ribosomal RNA (551 nucleotides) under uncultured bacterium. Its description in RNAcentral is "bacterial SSU rRNA". It matches the Rfam family "Bacterial small subunit ribosomal RNA", at positions 353 to 896 of the family's 1533-position model. The record is from RNAcentral.